Molecule: ribosomal RNA, 253 nt
Filed under: uncultured bacterium
Lineage: Bacteria
Description: partial 16S ribosomal RNA
Rfam family: Bacterial small subunit ribosomal RNA
Source: RNAcentral
GACGGAAGGUGCAAGCGUUGCUCGGAUUCAUUGGGCGUAAAGGGUGCGUAGGCGGCGCGGUAAGUCGGGUGUGAAAUCUCGGAGCUUAACUCCGAAACUGCAUUCGAUACUGCCGUGCUUGAGGACUGGAGAGGAGACUGGAAUUUACGGUGUAGCGGUGAAAUGCGUAGAUAUCGUAAGGAAGACCAGUGGCGAAGGCGGGUCUCUGGACAGUUCCUGACGCUGAGGCACGAAGGUCAGGGGAGCAAACGGG